GCAAAUAUUUCAAAACAGUAAAAAGACCUAUCGGAAAUAGGUUUUUCAGCCUGGGUCUGAAUUAAAUGAUAACCACAACUGAAACAUAUGGAAAUGAAAUUUAUAAAUACAGGACUGAAUAUAUAUUCUGCAUAAUGAGACUUGAUAAAAAGAGAAGAAUUUUAGCAACAUAUUAAUUCAUUAUCAUACUGUUUUAUUUUCUUGCAAAGGUGAGCUGAUGUUGCUGGCUAUCUCUCACACUACCCAAAUGGUCUUUAUUCUACCACCAUUUGUUUUGCUUAUUUUUCUAUUUUUUAAUUUUCACGUUUUAAGUUUUACAUUUAAGUCUGUAACCCUUCUUAAGUUUAUUUUUGUAUAUGGUGUGAAAUCGGAGUCCAAUUUCAUUAUUUUUGCAGGUAAAUAUCCAAUUUUCCCAGGAUGAUUUAUUGAAGAGACUUCUUUUCCUCAAUGUGCAUUACUGGCACACUUGUAGAAGAUCAGUUGAUCAUAUACACAUGGUUAUAACUUUGGGAUCUCUAUUCUGUUCCAUUGGUAUAUAUGUCUGUUUUUAAACCCUACCAUACUGUUUUGAUUACUGUAACUUUGUUAUAUAUUUUGAUAUUAAGAGUGUGAUAUCUGAAGUUUUAUUCAUCUUGUUUAAAAUUGCUUUUUUUAUUCAGGGUCUUUUGUCAUUGCAAAUGAAUUUUAAGAUUGUUUUUUCUAGUUCUAUAAAAAUGUUAUUAUAUUUUGAUAAAAAUUGCUUUGGCUAAUAUAGACUUUUAAACAAUAUUAAUUAUUCCAGUUCAUGAGCAUGAAAUGGCCUUCCAUUUAUUUCAGAAUUUAACAUUAAUAUUUUGUAAUUUUCAGAGUACAAAUCUUUUGUUUCCUUGGUUAAGUUUAUUCCUACAUAUUUUAUUCCUUUGAUGUGAUUGUUAAUGGAAUUGUAUUUUAAUUUCCUUUUUAGAUAGAUUUUCCCAGUGUAUAUAAAUGAACAGAAUUUUG
Molecule: long non-coding RNA, 981 nt
Filed under: Callithrix jacchus (white-tufted-ear marmoset)
Lineage: Eukaryota; Metazoa; Chordata; Mammalia; Primates; Cebidae
Description: lncRNA (ENSCJAG00000086332.1)
Source: RNAcentral